AAGGUUUUAGCUUAAUAAAAGUUUCUGAUUUGCGUUCAGAGGAUGUAGGAUGAUGUCCUGCAAGUCUUA
This 69-nucleotide transfer RNA is filed under the name Leptophryne borbonica (Java tree toad). RNAcentral describes it as "tRNA-Ala". It matches the Rfam family "tRNA". From Rfam's summary of the family: Transfer RNA (tRNA) molecules are approximately 80 nucleotides in length. The record is from RNAcentral. Lineage: Eukaryota; Metazoa; Chordata; Amphibia; Anura; Bufonidae.